This 468-nucleotide ribosomal RNA is filed under the name uncultured bacterium. RNAcentral describes it as "partial 16S ribosomal RNA". It matches the Rfam family "Bacterial small subunit ribosomal RNA", at positions 28 to 507 of the family's 1533-position model. The record is from RNAcentral.
GACGAACGCUGGCGGCGUGCUUAACACAUGCAAGUCGAACAGAAAGGCCCUGCUUUUGUGGGGUGCUCGAGUGGCGAACGGGUGAGUAACACGUGAGUAACCUGCCCUUGACUUUGGGAUAACUUCAGGAAACUGGGGCUAAUACCGGAUAGGAGCUCUUGCUGCAUGGUGGGGGUUGGAAAGUUUCGGCGGUUGGGGAUGGACUCGCGGCUUAUCAGCUUGUUGGUGGGGUAGUGGCUUACCAAGGCUUUGACGGGUAGCCGGCCUGAGAGGGUGACCGGCCACAUUGGGACUGAGAUACGGCCCAGACUCCUACGGGAGGCAGCAGUGGGGAAUAUUGCACAAUGGGCGGAAGCCUGAUGCAGCAACGCCGCGUGCGGGAUGACGGCCUUCGGGUUGUAAACCGCUUUCGCCUGUGACGAAGCGUGAGUGACGGUAAUGGGUAAAGAAGCACCGGCUAACUACGUG